This 497-nucleotide ribosomal RNA is filed under the name uncultured Sphingobacteriales bacterium. Its description in RNAcentral is "bacterial SSU rRNA". It matches the Rfam family "Bacterial small subunit ribosomal RNA", at positions 885 to 1382 of the family's 1533-position model. The record is from RNAcentral. Lineage: Bacteria; Pseudomonadati; Bacteroidota; Sphingobacteriia; Sphingobacteriales.
GCCAGCCCGCUCAGAAACUCAAAGGAAUUGACGGGGGCCCGCACAAGCGGUGGAGCAUGUGGUUUAAUUCGAUGAUACGCGAGGAACCUUACCUGGGCUCAAAUGUAUGUUGACGUAUUCUGAAAGGGAUACUUCUUCGGACAAUAUACAAGGUGCUGCAUGGUUGUCGUCAGCUCGUGCCGUGAGGUGUCGGGUUAAGUCCCAUAACGAGCGCAACCCCUAUCAUUAGUUGCCAUCAGGUCAAGCUGGGGACUCUAAUGAAACUGCCUACGCAAGUAGUGAGGAAGGUGGGGAUGACGUCAAAUCAGCACGGCCCUUACGUCCAGGGCUACACACGUGCUACAAUGGCCGGUACAAAGGGCAGCUACCUGGUGACAGGAUGCUAAUCUCAAAAGCCGGUCUCAGUUCGGAUCGGAGUCUGCAACCCGACUCCGUGAAGUUGGAUUCGCUAGUAAUCGCGCAUCAGCCAUGGCGCGGUGAAUACGUUCCCGGGCCUU